GCCAGACUCCUACGGGAGGCAGCAGCGGGGGAUAUUGCACAAUGGGGGGAACCCUGAUGCAGCGACGCCGCGUGGGUGAAGGAGCGUUUCGGCGCGUAAAGCCCUAUCGGCAGGGAAGAAGGAGGACGGUACCUGACUAAGAAGCCCCGGCUAACUACGUGCCAGCAGCCGCGGUAAUACGUAGGGGGCAAGCGUUAUCCGGAUUUACUGGGUGUAAAGGGGGCGCAGACGGCAGCGCAAGCCAGGAGUGAAAGCCCGGGGCCCAACCCCGGGACUGCUCUUGGAACUGCGCGGCUGGAGUGCAGGAGGGGCAGGCGGAAUUCCUGGUGUAGCGGUGAAAUGCGUAGAUAUCAGGAGGAACACCGGUGGCGAAGGCGGCCUGCUGGACUGCGACUGACGUUGAGGCCCGAAAGCGUGGGGAGCAAACAGGAUUAGAUACCCCCGUACCA
RNAcentral lists this ribosomal RNA (449 nucleotides) under uncultured bacterium. RNAcentral describes it as "partial 16S ribosomal RNA". It matches the Rfam family "Bacterial small subunit ribosomal RNA", at positions 330 to 797 of the family's 1533-position model. The record is from RNAcentral.